RNAcentral lists this ribosomal RNA (767 nucleotides) under Lecithodendriidae sp. PAFlukeB. RNAcentral's name for it is "SSU rRNA". It matches the Rfam family "Eukaryotic small subunit ribosomal RNA", at positions 738 to 1471 of the family's 1831-position model. The record is from RNAcentral. Lineage: Eukaryota; Metazoa; Platyhelminthes; Trematoda; Plagiorchiida; Lecithodendriidae.
CGGGUGUCUGGGGCGGACGGCAAGUUUACUUUGAACAAAUUUGAGUGCUCAAAGCAGGCCUAUGCCUGACAAUUCUUGCAUGGAAUAAUGGAAUAGGACUUCGGUUCUAUUUUGUUGGUUUUCGGAUCCGAAGUAAUGGUUAAGAGGGACAGACGGGGGCAUUUGUAUGGCGGUGUUAGAGGUGAAAUUCUAUGAUCAUCGCCAGACAAACUAAAGCGAAAGCAUUUGCCAAGGAUGUUUUCAUUAAUCUGGAGCGAAAGUCAGAGGUUCAAAGACGAUCAGAUACCGUCGUAGUUCUGACCAUAAACGAUACCAACUGACGAUCCGUGGGCGCUCGUUUAUUGACCCCAUGGGCAGUCCCCGGGAAACCUUGAAGUCUUUGGGUUCCGGGGGAAGUAUGGUUGCAAAGCUGAAACUUAAAGGAAUUGACGGAAGGGCACCACCAGGAGUGGAGCGUGCGGUUCAAUUCGACUCAACACGGGAAAUCUCACCCGGCCCGGACACUGUGAGGAUUGACAGAUUGAGAGCYCUUUCUUGAUUCGGUGGUUGGUGGUGCAUGGCCGUUCUUAGUUGGUGGAGCGAUUUGUCUGGUUAAUUCCGAUAACGAACGAGACUUUGGCCUGCUAAAUAGUAUGCCUGUCCUCUGCUCUUGUGCGGGUGGCGGUAGUGGUAGCCUUUCGGGGUGAUACUGCCGUACGCCGGCGAGGGCUGCGCAGGUCUAUACUUCUUAGAGGGACAAGCGGUUUUUAGCCGCACGAAAUUGAGCA